GACGGAGGGUGCAAACGUUGUUCGGAAUCACUGGGCGUAAAGGGCGCGUAGGCGGACUUGUAAGUCGGGCGUGAAAUCCCUGGGCUCAACCCAGGAACUGCACUCGAAACUACUUUUCUUGAGUGCCGGAGAGGAAAGCGGAAUUCCUGGUGUAGAGGUGAAAUUCGUAGAUAUCAGGAGGAACACCAGUGGCGAAAGCGGCUCACUGGCCCGGUUCUGACGCUGAGGCGCGAAAGCGUGGGGAGCAAACAGG
This 253-nucleotide ribosomal RNA is filed under the name uncultured bacterium. RNAcentral's name for it is "partial 16S ribosomal RNA". It matches the Rfam family "Bacterial small subunit ribosomal RNA", at positions 524 to 776 of the family's 1533-position model. The record is from RNAcentral.